Non-coding RNA from Podarcis lilfordi (Lilford's wall lizard), 191 nucleotides. The record is from the annotation of a GenBank genome assembly. Lineage: Eukaryota; Metazoa; Chordata; Lepidosauria; Squamata; Lacertidae.
UUCCUGGUGUUUAGUCAGAAUCUCCUUUCUUGCAAUUUGAAGCCAUUGGUUUGGGUCUUACCUUUCAGAGCAGGAGAAAACAAGCAUGCUCCACCUGCCAUGUGACAGCCCUUGAGAUAUUUGAAGAUGGCUAUCACAUCUCCUCUCAGUCUCCUUUUUUCCAAGCUAAACAUUCUCAAUUCUCUUAACAG